RNAcentral lists this long non-coding RNA (1052 nucleotides) under Equus asinus (donkey). RNAcentral's name for it is "lncRNA (ENSEASG00005029793.1)". Lineage: Eukaryota; Metazoa; Chordata; Mammalia; Perissodactyla; Equidae. The record is from RNAcentral.
GUGCCCUGCCCCCGCGAGCAGCUCCUGCGAGCGGCCACCCCGGCUCCGGCUCCGGAGCUGACUAUGCCGGUUCCCCGCUGCCAUAGGCACCCCCAGCCCGCGCGGGGGGGUGGGGCGCGCUGCGCUGAGCUGAGCUGCAGGGUUCCCCCUCCCCGUUCCUCCCCCUCGGGGCUCCCCGGGGCGCGGCGGGCCUGGGGCGCGCGGGUUGCCCGGCGACCGCGCCGUUGCCAGUGGAGACGCACACGCACACGCCCCCCCCCCCCCCGGGGCGGCCGAACCCAGGCGGCGGCCCCGGUGUCUGUGCGCUGGGCGCCGGCGGGCGGGGGCUGCAAGGAGAGACCUCCUGGGACUCCUCGAACCUUCCCGGCCCCCAGCGGCCUCUCGCCCUCACCCCACAGUCGGGGGCCCGGAGAAGGCGGGCCGCCCACCCUGGCCCCUCCCGCGGGGCGCAGACCCCUCCCCACGGCCACCUCCUUGAGCGAGCGCAGGAGAGGAGAAGGCGGUGGUGACUCCGCGCUUCCCGGCCGGCUGCCCUCCUCCCUGGCUGUUUGCCUCCAGGGAUCCCAGGAAGGUGGAAAGGGGCGUUAUUCACGGAGAUCGGCUGUUUCCUUACAGGAAAACUGAGGCUCGCGGUGGUUGGGCUGGAUGGCUCACCUUUUCCACCUGAUCCGGGUGUCUCCGUCCAGUAAUCAUCUCCCACGUCAGCAAAUGAAGAGUCCCUGUCAGAAAGGCUGUCCUGGGAGCAUUCUGUCGGGUUCUGGAAGAGGAGCGGUAGACCCAUCCCGAGCGUGGGCUUCCUGUAGGCAGGGCACCUCCUGCUGGAGAGGCGACAGCCCAGCAGGAGAUCUUCCAGUGGCGGCGCAUGGGUGGGUGGUCCUCCCAAAGCCCAGUAAUGCUCGAGACAAGCGAAAUACCCAACAAAGAAACACGGUGCAUCCGCAGAUCGGAACACUGCGUGCCCGUUUAAUAUGGAGUUUCAAAAAAUACCAAGGAUCCGAAGGACCUUUGGGUGACUCCGUUUGUACGGAAUGUCCGGAAUAGACAAAUCUACA